This 420-nucleotide long non-coding RNA is filed under the name Felis catus (domestic cat). RNAcentral describes it as "lncRNA (ENSFCAG00000041388.2)". The record is from RNAcentral. Lineage: Eukaryota; Metazoa; Chordata; Mammalia; Carnivora; Felidae.
CUGGAAUCCUGGCUGCUUCUCUCAGUUUGGCAGUCACGGCCCUUCUGUUUGUGAAUCUUCGCCGGCUCUGUCCUUUCCGACACCCGCCCGCUGUGUGCUCUGUGGACAUCUGGGCACGGGUCCAGAGCCUGGCGUUGGAGGCCCAAAUUCAGCUUUAUGCAGCAUUGGGGGCUGUAUGUCCAAGAGAAGUCCUGCUAUUGGAGCCUGGGACAAGGAUUUAACGAGCUUGUUUGGUCUAAAUCUGGAGGCAGAGGUCAGUGGCAGCAGGACAUCCGUCCCCCCUUGGGACUGCCCAGCCACUGACGGCAGAGGCUGGACCCGACAGGAGCAAUGCAGUGCACGGUGGCUGUCCCAGGCUGGAUGUGGACAUGCCAUUCUAGAUCACUUCAAGUGAUGUGAAGAGUUGAAAGGUAUGGAUCC